Small nucleolar RNA from Ochotona curzoniae (black-lipped pika), 126 nucleotides. Lineage: Eukaryota; Metazoa; Chordata; Mammalia; Lagomorpha; Ochotonidae. The record is from RefSeq and is a predicted model, not a curated record.
GUGCACAUUUCAUCCUUUUUUCUUGGUGUCAAGAAAAAAGAUAUUUCUGAUGUGCUAAACAAACAUUGGAGGAAAAUUAGCAGCAUGACUGAUUUAGCCAUUGCUGUCAGUCACCUUCAGACAAAU